GACGAACGCUGGCGGCAGGCCUAACACAUGCAAGUCGAACGGAUCCUUCGGGAUUAGUGGCGGACGGGUGAGUAACGCGUGGGAACAUACCCUUUGGUACGGAAUAGCCUCGGGAAACUGGGAGUAAUACCGUAUGUGGUCGAGAGACGAAAGAUUUAUCGCCAAAGGAUUGGCCCGCGUUGGAUUAGGUAGUUGGUGGGGUAAUGGCCUACCAAGCCGACGAUCCAUAGCUGGUUUGAGAGGAUGAUCAGCCACACUGGGACUGAGACACGGCCCAGACUCCUACGGGAGGCAGCAGUGGGGAAUCUUAGACAAUGGGGGAAACCCUGAUCUAGCCAUGCCGCGUGAUCGAUGAAGGCCUUAGGGUUGUAAAGAUCUUUCAGGUGGGAAGAUAAUGACUGUACCACCAGAAGAAGCCCCGGCUAACUCCGUGCCAGCAGCCGCCGUAA
Molecule: ribosomal RNA, 449 nt
Filed under: uncultured bacterium
Lineage: Bacteria
Description: partial 16S ribosomal RNA
Rfam family: Bacterial small subunit ribosomal RNA
Source: RNAcentral